Molecule: ribosomal RNA, 294 nt
Filed under: Legionella pneumophila
Lineage: Bacteria; Pseudomonadati; Pseudomonadota; Gammaproteobacteria; Legionellales; Legionellaceae
Description: partial 23S ribosomal RNA
Rfam family: Bacterial large subunit ribosomal RNA
Source: RNAcentral
GGUCAAGAAGAGAAGCGCAAACGGUGGAUGCCUUGGCAGUAAGAGGCGAAGAAGGACGUGGAAUCCUGCGAAAAGCUAUGGGGAGCUGGAAACGAGCGUUGAGCCAUAGAUGUCCGAAUGGGGGAACCCGGCUGCAGCGAUGCGGUCAUUUGCAUUUGAAUACAUAGGAUGCAAAGGCGAACUCGGGGAACUGAAACAUCUAAGUACCCGAAGGAAAAGAAAUCAAGAGAGAUUCUCCAAGUAGCGGCGAGCGAACGGGGAGGAGCCUGGCGUGAUUUAUUAUUGAACUGAGUA